AAUAUAUGGAGUUGUCAGUCUCAAACUAGAUUCAUAGAGGAAAUUCAAUCUUCUUCAACUCGGGAUUAUUAGUUUUCUCAUCUAGAGCUUUCUCAUGUCUUUCUCUAUAUGCUGAUUAAGUCUGGAAUGUUUGAGCUUUAUGUAGAUCCAAGUUCUAUGAGGUAAAUAUUGAAUAUUGACCUAGAGUUUUCGCAUUUUGAUUUUCUUACUAAGUUUCAGUUUGUUUUGGCUAAAUUAAGAAUGAUAAACAGAGUCGUACAAAUUAAACCAUCAGAUGUAAGUCAUAGGGCUAUAUCCAUUUCAAAUCGUAUGCACUGACGAAGGUCAAGGGGAAACAAUGGUCAUCAAGGACAAUUCAUUCAUGUCAUCACAUGCCCCUAAAUGCAUCGAAGAAAUUUUAGAAAUGGUGGUACCUACUAAGAAGGGUGAAGGAUUUUUUUUAUACCUAGUAGCCAAUAACCCUAAUUAUAGAAUUACUACUUGGGUUUUGCAUCCUACAGGCUAAGCGAUGCGAUUCACUACAUCAAAUGGUGAACACCAGGGAUACACAAUGCUGAUUGAUCUUUAUUUGCUUGACUUUCUUCACAAGAUCAACUGUUCCCAAUGUCUUCAGAUUUGGAGGGUUUGGAAGGACACGGGAGCAGAAGAUCUAGAGCUUCAGCUUGGGUCAAGAGAAUCUUGAUCAAAGAAGUAGCAGUAACCAAAGAGAUGCGGUAACCAUUGAAGCCCAAAGAACUAACAUAAUGUUGGAACCUCAGCAGAGUAGGAGAGACUUGGAGUAGAGGCUGGGAGGUGCGUCAAGCAGUAGGUAGGUUCCCCCUGAAACUGAAGAGGUUAAGCUGAAGUGCAUGAUCAGAUUGGAUUACAUGAAGGAGGAGACAUCAACCUUAUGUGGACAUCUAUUUUGCUGGGAAUGCAUCAUGAGAGCCAUAUGGAGGGAUGGAAGAUGCGCUUCUUGCCUCAUGCCACUCUCUAGAGCUACCGUACACCGUGUCUUCUUUCCCAGACGAGCUUGAUCAUUAAAUAUGAGAAUGAUAGAGACCUAAACACAUUCGUCCCACCAGACCCACAGUAGCGGGAGCCACGUGCACUGGAUUGUAAAGAGAGUUUUCUUACCUUUGAUUAAAUACAUUUUAAUUAUUUGUUAAUUAAGCUUAUUUUUGUGAACGAUAUGUUGAUAGAAAAUUUAAAGUUUUGAAUUAAAAUUUUUUUCGUACCAAUUAAUUAUUA
Molecule: long non-coding RNA, 1230 nt
Organism: Macadamia integrifolia
Lineage: Eukaryota; Viridiplantae; Streptophyta; Magnoliopsida; Proteales; Proteaceae
Exons: 4
Source: RefSeq, a predicted model, not a curated record